RNAcentral lists this ribosomal RNA (497 nucleotides) under uncultured bacterium. Its description in RNAcentral is "partial 16S ribosomal RNA". It matches the Rfam family "Bacterial small subunit ribosomal RNA", at positions 28 to 507 of the family's 1533-position model. The record is from RNAcentral.
GAUGAACGCUGGCGGCGUGCCUAAUACAUGCAAGUCGAGCGAACAGACGAGGAGCUUGCUCCUCUGACGUUAGCGGCGGACGGGUAGGUAACACGUGGAUAACCUACCUAUAAGACUGGGAUAACUUCGGGAAACCGGAGCUAAUACCGGAUAAUAUAUUGAACCGCAUGGUUCAAUAGUGAAAGACGGUUUUGCUGUCACUUAUAGAUGGAUCCGCGCCGCAUUAGCUAGUUGGUAAGGUAACGGCUUACCAAGGCGACGAUGCGUAGCCGACCUGAGAGGGUGAUCGGCCACACUGAAACUGAGACACGGUCCAGACUCCUACGGGAGGCAGCAGUAGGGAAUCUUCCGCAAUGGGCGAAAGCCUGACGGAGCAACGCCGCGUGAGUGAUGAAGGUCUUCGGAUCGUAAAACUCUGUUAUUAGGGAAGAACAAAUGUGUAAGUAACUAUGCACGUCUUGACGGUACCUAAUCAGAAAGCCACGGCUAACUACGUG